Molecule: small nuclear RNA, 110 nt
Organism: Cydia amplana
Lineage: Eukaryota; Metazoa; Arthropoda; Insecta; Lepidoptera; Tortricidae
Source: RefSeq, a predicted model, not a curated record
GUACUUAAUUGCUUCUGCAGUACAUAUAAUAAAUUGGACCGAUAGAGAGAAGAUUAGCAUGGCCCCUGCGCAUGGAUGACACGCAUUAAAAAAAAUUGGAACUGUUUCGU